RNAcentral lists this ribosomal RNA (254 nucleotides) under uncultured bacterium. RNAcentral describes it as "partial 16S ribosomal RNA". It matches the Rfam family "Bacterial small subunit ribosomal RNA", at positions 524 to 776 of the family's 1533-position model. The record is from RNAcentral.
UACGUAGGGACCAAGCGUUGUUCGGAUUUACUGGGCGUAAAGGGCGCGUAGGCGGCAAUUCAAGUCAUCUGUGAAAUCUCCGGGCUUAACCCGGAACGGUCAGGUGAUACUGCUUUGCUAGAGUGCGGAAGGGGCAAUCGGAAUUCUCGGUGUAGCGGUGAAAUGCGUAGAUAUCGAGAGGAACACCAGAGGUGAAGACGGGUUGCUGGGCCGACACUGACGCUGAUAGCGCGAAAGCCAGGGGAGCAAACGGG